RNAcentral lists this ribosomal RNA (460 nucleotides) under uncultured bacterium. RNAcentral describes it as "partial 16S ribosomal RNA". It matches the Rfam family "Bacterial small subunit ribosomal RNA", at positions 338 to 795 of the family's 1533-position model. The record is from RNAcentral.
CCUACGGGUGGCAGCAGUGAGGAAUAUUGGUCAAUGGACGAGAGCCUGAACCAGCCAAGUCGCGUGAAGGAUGACUGCCCUAUGGGUUGUAAACUUCUUUUACACGGGACUAAAAUGCCCCACGUGUGGGAUUUUGUAUGUACUAUAUGAAUAAGGAUCGGCUAACUCCGUGCCAGCAGCCGCGGUAAUACGGAGGAUCCGGGCGUUAUCCGGAUUUAUUGGGUUUAAAGGGAGGGUAGGGGGGUUGUUAAGUCAGUUGUGAAAGUUUGCGGCUCAACCGUAAAAUUGCAGUUGAAACUGGCAGUCUUGAGUAAAGUAGAGGUAGGCGGAAUGCGUGGUGUAGCGGUGAAAUGCUUAGAUAUCACGAAGAACUCCGAUUGCGAAGGCAGUUCACUGGACUGCAACUGACACUGAGGCUCGAAAGUGUGGGUAUCAAACAGGAUUAGAUACCCUGGUAGUC